GGGGAAUAUUGGACAAUGGGCGCAAGCCUGAUCCAGCCAUACCGCGUGGGUGAAGAAGGCCUUCGGGUUGUAAAGCCCUUUUGUUGGGAAAGAAAAGCAGCCGGUUAAUACCCGGUUGUUCUGACGGUACCCAAAGAAUAAGCACCGGCUAACUUCGUGCCAGCAGCCGCGGUAAUACGAAGGGUGCAAGCGUUACUCGGAAUUACUGGGCGUAAAGCGUGCGUAGGUGGUUGUUUAAGUCUGUCGUGAAAGCCCUGGGCUCAACCUGGGAAUUGCGAUGGAAACUGGGCGACUAGAGUGUGGCAGAGGGUAGUGGAAUUCCUGGUGUAGCAGUGAAAUGCGUAGAGAUCAGGAGGAACAUCCGUGGCGAAGGCGACUGCCUGGGCCAACACUGACACUGAGGCACGAAAGCGUGGGGAGCAAAC
RNAcentral lists this ribosomal RNA (425 nucleotides) under uncultured bacterium. RNAcentral describes it as "bacterial SSU rRNA". It matches the Rfam family "Bacterial small subunit ribosomal RNA", at positions 356 to 773 of the family's 1533-position model. The record is from RNAcentral.